CAAGUCGAACGAACUCUGGUAUUGAUUGGUGCUUGCAUCAUGAUUUACAUUUGAGUGAGUGGCGAACUGGUGAGUAACACGUGGGAAACCUGCCCAGAAGCGGGGGAUAACACCUGGAAACAGAUGCUAAUACCGCAUAACAACUUGGACCGCAUGGUCCGAGUUUGAAAGAUGGCUUCGGCUAUCACUUUUGGAUGGUCCCGCGGCGUAUUAGCUAGAUGGUGGGGUAACGGCUCACCAUGGCAAUGAUACGUAGCCGACCUGAGAGGGUAAUCGGCCACAUUGGGACUGAGACACGGCCCAAACUCCUACGGGAGGCAGCAGUAGGGAAUCUUCCACAAUGGACGAAAGUCUGAUGGAGCAACGCCGCGUGAGUGAAGAAGGGUUUCGGCUCGUAAAACUCUGUUGUUAAAGAAGAACAUAUCUGAGAGUAACUGUUCAGGUAUUGACGGUAUUUAACCAGAAAGCCACGGCUAACUACGUGCCAGCAGCCGCGGUAAUACGUAGGUGGCAAGCGUUGUCCGGAUUUAUUGGGCGUAAAGCGAGCGCAGGCGGUUUUUUAAGUCUGAUGUGAAAGCCUUCGGCUCAACCGAAGAAGUGCAUCGGAAACUGGGAAACUUGAGUGCAGAAGAGGACAGUGGAACUCCAUGUGUAGCGGUGAAAUGCGUAGAUAUAUGGAAGAACACCAGUGGCGAAGGCGGCUGUCUGGUCUGUAACUGACGCUGAGGCUCGAAAGUAUGGGUAGCCAACAGGAUUAGAUACCCUGGUAGUCCAUACCGUAAACGAUGAAUGCUAAGUGUUGGAGGGUUUCCGCCCUUCAGUGCUGCAGCUAACGCAUUAAGCAUUCCGCCUGGGGAGUACGGCCGCAAGGCUGAAACUCAAAGGAAUUGACGGGGGCCCGCACAAGCGGUGGAGCAUGUGGUUUAAUUCGAAGCUACGCGAAGAACCUUACCAGGUCUUGACAUACUAUGCAAAUCUAAGAGAUUAGACGUUCCCUUCGGGGACAUGGAUACAGGUGGUGCAUGGUUGUCGUCAGCUCGUGUCGUGAGAUGUUGGGUUAAGUCCCGCAACGAGCGCAACCCUUAUUAUCAGUUGCCAGCAUUAAGUUGGGCACUCUGGUGAGACUGCCGGUGACAAACCGGAGGAAGGUGGGGAUGACGUCAAAUCAUCAUGCCCCUUAUGACCUGGGCUACACACGUGCUACAAUGGAUGGUACAACGAGUUGCGAACUCGCGAGAGUAAGCUAAUCUCUUAAAGCCAUUCUCAGUUCGGAUUGUAGGCUGCAACUCGCCUACAUGAAGUCGGAAUCGCUAGUAAUCGCGGAUCAGCAUGCCGCGGUGAAUACGUUCCCGGGCCUUGUACACACCGCCCGUCACACCAUGAGAGUUUGUAACACCCAAAGUC
Molecule: ribosomal RNA, 1404 nt
Filed under: Lactiplantibacillus plantarum
Lineage: Bacteria; Bacillati; Bacillota; Bacilli; Lactobacillales; Lactobacillaceae
Description: bacterial SSU rRNA
Rfam family: Bacterial small subunit ribosomal RNA
Source: RNAcentral